Molecule: unclassified non-coding RNA, 326 nt
Filed under: Saprolegnia asterophora
Lineage: Eukaryota; Oomycota; Saprolegniomycetes; Saprolegniales; Saprolegniaceae
Description: partial its2 (partial)
Source: RNAcentral
AAUACAAACUUGUUUCAUUUAUUUGAAACAGAAUGUGGAGGUCUUGUUUCGACAAGUCCUUUUAAACGACACUACCUGUACGUCCUUGUGGGAUAUACAAUAUACAGGUUACUAUGAUUUCAAUUUCUAAAGUUCUGUUCAACUGUAACGGCUUGGAAGGAGGAAUAAAUUGCGGUAGUUUUGCUUGAGUUUCGGCUCGAGUGAACAUCAAUAUUGCUUUUUGUUUUUCUGGAAGAGUUGCGGCGGAAGUGUAGAAUGGGAGGUUGAAUAGUAGUGACUGGUGUAUUCCUUGGCGUAUGGAGGCAAAUUGGGAACUAUAUCCAAUU